GCUUCAUACCGCCCAGGAAUACUGCUUCACAUAACCAUAUAGAUAGAUUUUAAGCUUGAAAACAUAUGACAAAAUGCACAAAUGCAAAGUGCUUUGAUGACUGUUUAUAUAGAAUUACCUUAUGCAUGCAUAGAAUGCGUGGCUUGGCAUGUAACACACUAACACAAUACAGAUACAGAUACUUAUGCUUGACGUCUUACCACCAAGUUCUACUCCAGAUGACAUUGUGUAAAGUAGGGCUGC
Molecule: unclassified non-coding RNA, 243 nt
Filed under: Hevea brasiliensis (rubber tree)
Lineage: Eukaryota; Viridiplantae; Streptophyta; Magnoliopsida; Malpighiales; Euphorbiaceae
Source: RNAcentral